GYYCGRAAGGCGGRAAACGAGUUAUCUGAACCUUCGGGGAACGAUAACGGCGUCGAGCSGYGGACGGGUGAGUAAUGCCUAGGAAAUUGCCCUGAUGUGGGGGAUAACCAUUGGAAACGAUGGCUAAUACCGCAUGAUGCCUACGGGCCAAAGAGGGGGACCUUCGGGCCUCUCGCGUCAGGAUAUGCCUAGGUGGGAUUAGCUAGUUGGUGAGGUAAGGGCUCACCAAGGCGACGAUCCCUAGCUGGUCUGAGAGGAUGAUCAGCCACACUGGAACUGAGACACGGUCCAGACUCCUACGGGAGGCAGCAGUGGGGAAUAUUGCACAAUGGGCGCAAGCCUGAUGCASCCAUGCCGCGUGUGUGAAGAAGGCCUUCGGGUUGUAAAGYACUUUCAGUCGUGAGGAAGGURGURUWGUUAAUAGCUSYAUYAUUUGACGUUAGCGACAGAAGAAGCACCGGCUAACUCCGUGCCAGCAGCCGCGGUAAUACGGAGGGUGCGAGCGUUAWUCGGAAUUACUGGGCGUAAAGCGCAUGCAGGUGGUUUGUUAAGUCAGAUGUGAAAGCCCGGGGCUCAACCUCGGAAUAGCAUUUGAAACUGGCASACUAGAGUACUGUMGAGGGGGGUAGAAUUUUCAGGUGUAGCGGUGAAAAUGCGUAGAGAUCUUGAAGGAAUACCGGUGGYGAAGGCGGCCCCCCUGGACAGAUACUGACACUCC
This 718-nucleotide ribosomal RNA is filed under the name Vibrio parahaemolyticus. RNAcentral's name for it is "partial 16S ribosomal RNA". It matches the Rfam family "Bacterial small subunit ribosomal RNA", at positions 64 to 749 of the family's 1533-position model. The record is from RNAcentral. Lineage: Bacteria; Pseudomonadati; Pseudomonadota; Gammaproteobacteria; Vibrionales; Vibrionaceae.